UGUGUUCGCCUGCUUCAUUGUUCUCUCCAUUUGUACUAACUGAACAUAAACUGUAUAUCAUGCUUGUUGAUAUCAGAACUGAAACUAAUUGUAAUGUUUGCAAUCAACACAGUUGAUAUCAAUGGAACAAUUACAUUGGCUAGUACACUCACCUGGGAUUCUACCAAAACUAAUACGGUAAAUCUCACGCUCAUCACAAAUGUCUACAUUCUGAAAGAUGUUAUAAAAAGAGUGUAAAUGAUUGAAUUCUCUUUCUUUUCAAAGCUUGAAACUACCUUAAAAAAACUGAAUGGCUUUGAGGGGGUGAAUGUAACCGCUCAGAGGGAAGGAAACACAAUUGUUGAGUUUGAGGCAGCAGUCCACGUCAGAUUAAACACUUCUCAACUUCAAAAACUAGUGUAUGACCUGGAGGGGAGUCUUACUGGAAAACUUAAGGUCGACACUUCAGGAAUGGUCAACAUAGAGUCCCCCAAUUCAACAGUGUGCUAUGAGUCCACUCCAACUCUGAAAUGCAAAUUUGAGGAGGAGACGGACAGCGCCGUCUGGAGCAUGAGCACCCAGCACCAGCGCUUUCAGCUCAACACUGGCAUUGUUGUAGAACUGAUCAACAACUGUGCGAAUGAGACAUACAAGUCCUGCACUGGAGUCAUACUCAAGAAAGUGACAGAAAUCUGGUCAGGUAAAUUCAAAAAGUCAAACUGAGAUUAAGUCAUAUUUCCACAGCCCAUCAUUAAACUCUCGCCAAAAUGCAACCUCAGCUUUUUUUGUGAAUGUACCCGAGUCAGACAUUUGUUUAAAAGCAUAAUUACAACCAAACAACCACUUUCAAGAUUUACUGUAUUUUCGUUUUCGGGUCAGACUCAUUUUCAGUGGGAGUGCUACGGGAACUUUUACGAUAGCAUCAAAAUCUCUCUGUUUAAAACAGUAAGAAGUCUCGACACAACAUGAAACUUUGCUGGUAGCAUCACCAGGGUCUCUACACAUGAACACGAGCAUUGAGAACAUUGUUUGUGUACACAGAGUUUACUAAAAAGAAAGUUUUUGAACAACUCACGUUAGCAGUAGCUUGUUCCGCUCGCCGCCGUCCUGCCAGUGGAGAAGUGUCGAUCUCACACUAGCCCUUUUUAGGUAGAAAAGGCGGCACAU
This 1146-nucleotide long non-coding RNA is filed under the name Sparus aurata (gilthead seabream). RNAcentral's name for it is "lncRNA (ENSSAUG00010002789.1)". The record is from RNAcentral. Lineage: Eukaryota; Metazoa; Chordata; Actinopteri; Spariformes; Sparidae.